GUCCUCGAUUUGUUGCGGACAGAUAAAGUGGAUAUGGCUGUCAAAACCACCCGCCGUCAGAAUGCGCCCUUCGCCAGCAAUCGCUUCGGUGCCGGGGCCGACGAUAAUGUCCACACCGGGUUGCGUGUCAGGAUUGCCCGCUUUGCCGAUCUUGUGGAUGCGCCCGUUUUUCAGGCCGACAUCCGCCUUGUAAAUCCCUGAAUGGUCCACAAUCAGCGCGUUGGUGAUCACCGUAUCAACGGCCCCGUUUGCGCGGGUCACUUGGCUUUGGCCCAUGCCGUCGCGGAU
RNAcentral lists this small RNA (288 nucleotides) under Yoonia ponticola. RNAcentral describes it as "5' ureB small RNA". It matches the Rfam family "5' ureB small RNA". Lineage: Bacteria; Pseudomonadati; Pseudomonadota; Alphaproteobacteria; Rhodobacterales; Paracoccaceae. The record is from Rfam by way of RNAcentral.